Molecule: long non-coding RNA, 880 nt
Filed under: Daucus carota (carrot)
Lineage: Eukaryota; Viridiplantae; Streptophyta; Magnoliopsida; Apiales; Apiaceae
Description: long non-coding RNA (DCAR_LNC005082)
Source: RNAcentral
AGAUCCAUUACGUGAAGUGUAUUCAAGUGUACUAUUUCCUUCUAUAUACUGCAUGGUAAUCUUUUGAAUUCUUGUAGUGACUGUAUGAAGCCUACGUUGAUUAUGCCCUGCACUUAUAUAUGGGUGUUUAUAGGAGCGAAGUUUGAUUAGGCCUAGUUGUGCAUAUGUAAUUUGUUAACUUCUGAAAAAUAUUAUAGAUUCUGACAGGUCGGCUGCUUGGACUACUAGAGGAUUAUUUAGGUGAUUUUACUUUGUAAGAUGAAGCACAGUUCUUGCCAUUAGCUACUGCUGCAAUUCAGAAGCUUCAUUUUGAAACAGAUUGUGGCAGUUCUUGGCGCUAGUAAUUUGUGUUUCAGUUAACAUUAAAUUUUUUCAUAACUCUAGUAUAUUAUUUUGGUAAUUCGACUUUAUAAGAUGAAGCACAAUUCUUGCCGUUAGCUACUGCUGCAAUUCAGAAGCUUCAUUUUGAAACAGAUUGUGUUGGUGCUUGGCGCUAGUAACUUGUGUUUCAGUUUACAUCGAGUUUGGAAGAUUAUUUUGGUGAUUUGACUUUAUAAGAUGAAGCACAGUUGCCACUAGAAACUUCUGCAAUUCAGAAGCUUCAAUUGAAAACAAACUGAGGUGGUGCUCUGGUUGCGGUUUACAUUGAGUUUUUCCUUUACUGAUGGCUGAACAGUCUUCUUACGAUUGAGCUGCAUUUUCAUAUUAUCCUUUGUAUGACUAAAUGUGUGUACUUUACAUAGCAGUAUGUCAACAGCACUAUCACUGUGGCUUGGUAUUUAAUUUGUUUCAAUUGUUUGUAAUCCCCUCUCAUCUUUUUCUUCUCUGUUGAGUUUUCUUUCUUAACUUAAGUUCAGUAAGAUGUACUAUUCAAUAGGUC